AAGUCGUAACAAGGUUUCCGUAGGUGAACCUGCGGAAGGAUCAUUAUCGUGGGGAUUCGUCCCUUCUAGAUAGACACCCUUUGUUUAUGAGUACCAUUGUUUCCUCGGCGGGCUUGCCCGCCGUUGGACAUUUAAAAACCUCUGUAGUAGUAGUAUCUUCAGUAAAAAAACAAAUAUUAAAACUUUCAACAACGGAUCUCUUGGUUCUG
This 209-nucleotide unclassified non-coding RNA is filed under the name fungal sp. RNAcentral describes it as "partial internal transcribed spacer region". The stretch from base 1 to 46 matches the Rfam family "Eukaryotic small subunit ribosomal RNA", at positions 1786 to 1831 of the family's 1831-position model. The record is from RNAcentral. RNAcentral also lists the same sequence under 2 other names. Lineage: Eukaryota; Fungi.